RNAcentral lists this ribosomal RNA (253 nucleotides) under uncultured prokaryote. RNAcentral describes it as "partial 16S ribosomal RNA". It matches the Rfam family "Bacterial small subunit ribosomal RNA", at positions 525 to 777 of the family's 1533-position model. The record is from RNAcentral.
ACAGAGGGGGCAAGCGUUGUUCGGAAUUACUGGGCGUAAAGGGCGCGUAGGCGGCCUGCUAAGUCGAACGUGAAAUCCCUGGGCUCAACCCAGGAACUGCGUCCGAUACUGGUUGGCUUGAAUCCGGGAGAGGGACGUGGAAUCCCAGGUGUAGCGGUGAAAUGCGUAGAUAUCUGGAGGAACACCGGUGGCGAAGGCGGCUUUCUGGACAAAUACCGACGCUGAGGCACGAAAGCUAGGGGAGCAAACAGGA